UACGUAGGGGGCAAGCGUUGUCCGGAUUUAUUGGGCGUAAAGAGCGUGUAGGCGGCCUGACAGGUCUGCUGUGAAAACUCGAGGCUCAACCUCGAGAUGUCGGCGGAAACCGUCUGGCUAGAGUCCGGAAGAGGAGAGUGGAAUUCCUGGUGUAGCGGUGAAAUGCGCAGAUAUCAGGAAGAACACCUAUGGCGAAGGCAGCUCUCUGGGACGGUACUGGCGCUGAGACGCGAAAGCGUGGGGAGCGAACAGG
RNAcentral lists this ribosomal RNA (253 nucleotides) under uncultured bacterium. Its description in RNAcentral is "partial 16S ribosomal RNA". It matches the Rfam family "Bacterial small subunit ribosomal RNA", at positions 524 to 776 of the family's 1533-position model. The record is from RNAcentral.